AGAGCUCAAAUUUGAAAGCUGGCCCCCUCGGGGUCCGCAUUGUAAUUUGUAGAGGAUGCUUCGGGAGCGGUCCCCAUCUAAGUGCCCUGGAACGGGCCGUCAUAGAGGGUGAGAAUCCCGUAUGGGAUGGGGUGCCCGCGCCCGUGUGAAGCUCCUUCGACGAGUCGAGUUGUUUGGGAAUGCAGCUCUAAUUGGGUGGUAAAUUUCAUCUAAAGCUAAAUAUUGGCCGGAGACCGAUAGCGCACAAGUAGAGUGAUCGAAAGAUGAAAAGCACUUUGAAAAGAGAGUUAAACAGCACGUGAAAUUGUUGAAAGGGAAGCGCUUGCGAUCAGACUCGCUCGCGGGGUUCAGCCGGCCUUCGGGCCGGUGUACUUCCCCGCGGGCGGGCCAGCGUCGGUUUGGGCGGCCGGUCAAAGGCCCCUGGAAUGUAACGCCUCUCGGGGCGUCUUAUAGCCAGGGGUGCCAUGCGGCCUGCCCGGACCGAGGAACGCGCUUCGGCUCGGACGCUGGCAUAAUGGUCGUAAGCGACCCGUCUUGAAACACGGACCAAGGAGUCUAACAUCUACGCGAGUGUUCGGGUGUCAAACCCGUGCGCGCAGUGAAAGCGAACGGAGGUGGGAACCCCUCGGGGUGCACCAUCGACCGAUCCUGAAGUCUUCGGAUGGAUUUGAGUAAGAGCGUAGCUGUUGGGACCCGAAAGAUGGUGAACUAUGCCUGAAUAGGGCGAAGCCAGAGGAAACUCUGGUGGAGGCUCGCAGCGGUUCUGACGUGCAAAUCGAUCGUCAAAUUUGGGUAUAGGGGCGAAAGACUAAUCGAAC
RNAcentral lists this ribosomal RNA (818 nucleotides) under Penicillium cairnsense. RNAcentral describes it as "LSU rRNA". It matches the Rfam family "Eukaryotic large subunit ribosomal RNA", at positions 104 to 940 of the family's 3401-position model. The record is from RNAcentral. Lineage: Eukaryota; Fungi; Ascomycota; Eurotiomycetes; Eurotiales; Aspergillaceae.